RNAcentral lists this long non-coding RNA (392 nucleotides) under Heterocephalus glaber (naked mole-rat). RNAcentral's name for it is "lncRNA (ENSHGLG00100033030.1)". The record is from RNAcentral. Lineage: Eukaryota; Metazoa; Chordata; Mammalia; Rodentia; Bathyergidae.
CUGACCCGGAAAGCUCUCGCGUUUCCGAGUUUGCCCUUGCGGUCGGCUGUCUCUGUGCGUCCUUGUAGAAAGUUUUCCCUUUUUCAAGAGGGAUUGAACUUGGGACGUUGCAGUUGUGAGGCAGGUGACGGAAACACUGAGCCAUGGCAACAAAAGGCCUUGUGCUCUCUGUAGCGGAGCAUCCUGCCUUUGUCCGAUCCAGCUUGGUGUGUCAGUCUCUGCAAACAACAAAAGAUGUGGCCACCCGGCUGGCUGUCCCUGCCCCCAUCAGAGAACUAAGGGACGCAGAGGCCUCUUUGAUUGGAGCCAAGGAGAGCAGCAGACAGCAACAGUGCAAGAGGACAGAGGUGAGGCAAGAGAUGUAAUUUAUCCUGAUUUCGAGGCACAGGAGC